GCCCACAUAUACAAAUGGGCAAACCACUGAUGUUCAUCUGAACCACUGCCCAUCUUCAAAAUCUUGGCUCCAGAUUCAAAAUUCAAAAUUCAAACCGUAUACAUGUAUAACCUACAUUAUGUUCUCAUACCCUUUUUCACAAUCUUCGUUCAAGAAAUUCACUUUUCACAAACCCUUUUCAUCUGCUUCAAUCUUCUCCUUCACACUUGCAGGAUUUAACAACAAUUCACCUUCUUAAUUACCAUACGUUCUCAGAUCUGCCCUAAGAUCGGAAUCAACUUUAUACAUCUCCUUCGAUUGGUGGCUAGAGAUGCUUUGCAGAGAGAUGAUGUUAAACAUCUAGGGUUUGGGAGUAUAGAUGGAUUCAUCGCUGUGGUGUGACACACUCAUGUUCUUCAAGUUAAAGGUUAUCACCUCUUGAUUUUCUUGAAGGUAAAGUGGCGUCUCCUUUCUCAAACCCUAAAUCGAUUUAUGUUGAUCUGUUAGUCGAUUUAUGUCAGUUUUCUCUUUUAAAAAUUACCUGUUCAAAAUUUGAAAUUAGGGUUCCAUUUUAUUGCUCCUGUUGUUGUUUAUUUGGCGGUUCAUCGGUUAUAUAGAAGGUUUGGUCGAUUCUGUUUAUAAUAACAAGAUUACAGAUGUAAUAUGUCUAUUUAACUUCACAGAUUUGGAUUUUGUUUAUAGGAUAUGUGGUGGAUGAAUUUGUUAUUUUGUUUGUAAGCACUUUAGGGCAAUUAGUGAUAAAAAGGAUUGUGAGGUUGAAAUGGCAAAUCAUCAUGAGGACGACUGCACAUUCGACAUUGACAAUAUUGCCAGUGAAUUGGAACUUCUUAAUAAUUUAGUCGAAUAUGCUACAGACAACAAGAAAAUUUUGGCUUCAAGGUUGGAUCGUGCUAUCAGUUUAAGGAUUGAGUACACAACAAGAGAUGGAACGAUAAAAGAGACUACAUAUAUUGAGCACUAUGGAUAAAAGAGACUACAACAGACCGCACCUGAAUCGCCAAACUCCCAAGAAGCCCAUGAUGAUAAUCACUCUACUGCAAAGUCGUUUAACAUGCAUACAAACUGAACCAGAAGGCUGCAUCAUCAAGCAUUAAGGAUUUGAAACAUCUGCUAUGUAUGUUGAGUUUGGUGCUUUAAUCUAAUCGAGAAGUUUUUCAUACGUAAAACUGCCACCGACAAGACUCUUCCAUUGGGUUUGGGGCACCUGUUCGGGCAAACAUGAGAACCGGAGGAGUUACCACUACUGCUGUUACUUCAUCUUUGUUGUAAACUGUAAGCUUACUCUAUUUUUACCUAAACAUUAUAUGUGCAUUUUGGAAAAAUUAUAUUUGAAUAGAUAAUCAACUAGACUGAAAUAAAUUUAGUGCAAGAGAUGGUAGUAACGGUAUAUGGUUUGGCAAAUUCUCGAUGGCUGAUCGAAAGUACUAGGUAAAAUAGUGUAAUUUUACCCAACCUUUUUGACGGUCAGUUUGAAGGAGAUGAUAGCUUCAGCUGCAGAUUUAACAAGUUCAUCAUCUGGUUCUGUUUCGAGGGCUGCAGGGGUCUCCUGGUCGAUCUCCAUUGAAGCGAUUUUAACAACGGCUUUAGGGAUGUUUGGUGUUCAUGAAGGAUCUUCUUCUUCAAACAGCAAAUUUAAAUCAAAGUCUUGCCUUGAUUCCAAAAUGCUUUUAUUUUUGUCGUUUUCAGCAUUCUUAUCAUGAGAAACGUUGGCUGAAUCUUGAACGUUAACUAUCGGGACGCCUAGAAUUUUUGUAAUUUCGUGGACAUGAACGGUUUGAAGUUUCUCGGCUUUCUUGAAAAACUGCUGAGAAUGUUGCUGCAAAGAAUCCAAAUUCAUCUGAUAAACUGUUGUUUCUUUCUCUUUGGUCUUCAUAAGCCAAUGAGGCAGCUGUUUCUCAAGGGUUUAAACUAACUUGGGGGAUUUUGUGAUUCAAGAAAUUAUCACAAUAUGACAUCUGGGAAAGGAAAGAGAGUGAAAGAAAAGAGACCACGAAAGAACAAACAAGUGAUUAAUUCUAACAUACUGUUGGUGUGCUGAUGUUAUUAGUUCUUUUUUCUCUUCAGGUAUGAUCAUUCUGACUUCUAAUAAUUUACGUAUCCUGCACGGUAGGGGAACAUAUGUCAUGGGCAAUGGUAAAGGACUCUAAACCAUCUCUAACGCUAUAACAAUCAUGGGUUAAAACAGUGUUUCAAACAACUGUUGGGUUAAAAACAGUGUUUGAAACCACUGUUGGGUUAAAAACAGUGUUUGAAACCACUGUUGGGUUAAAAAACAGUGUUUGAAAAACAUUGUUGAGUCAAAACAGUGUUGCUAAAACAGUGGUUUGAAACCACUUUUGGGUUAAAAUAGAGUUUUAAACCACUGUUGGGUUUGAAACCACUGUUGUGUUAAAACAGUGUUUCAAGCCACUGUUAGGUUAAAAACAGUGUUUGAAAACACUGUUGAGUCAAAACAGUGUUGUUAAAACAGUGGUUUGAAACCACUCUUGCGUUAAAACAGAGUUUGAAACCACUGUUGGGUUAAAACAAUGUUUGAAACCACUGUUGGGUUAAAACAGUGUUUCAAGCCACUGUUGAGUUAUUUUUACCAUAAAAUGGAGUCGACAAUAUAAGUCGCGGGAUUAUUAUCAGUAAUAUAACUGUUAUUUUUACCAUAUAAGAGUGUUUCAAGCCACUGUUGAGUUAUUUUUACCACUGUUGAGUUAUUUUUACUAAUUAAUAUAAUAAAACGUUACUAAAACCACCCGUGUUUUACACGGGUCCGACUACUUUCAUUUUCAUUGCAGCCGAGGGUGCUGAGCAGUUUGACAAACAAGUUUUCGAACACAUUAUGUUGGCAAGUCAACUCGGACCUCUGUUUUGCCUUUUCAUAGAAUCAAUGUGUAAUGUGUUUUUUUAUAUGCUCGAAGUGGGGAUAAUUCAAAAAAUGUGAAUAAACUUACAGGUGUGUUCAUUUAUUUGUAAAUCUUUUUAUUUCAUGGGUUAUUUAACUGUAAAAAGUGAUUGUAAAUAUUUAACUGCUGAUGAUGAGUCCCUAGAAAUUGCAUGGUAAUUCAUUGCAUUUAUAUCCUUUAGCAUUCAAGAUUCUUUGUAGUUGUAUAAUUGAUAUAAAUGAUGGAUUUUAUAUUCAUGUUCUUUAUCUCGAAUGGCCUAAUCCUUCCGAUUUAGAUGCCUUCAUUUGCAACAACGGUGCUGAUCUGUAUUAACAAUAUUAGACCUGGCAAACGGGUCGGGUUGGGUCAUGGGUCAAAAUAGGUUCGAGUCAAAACGGGUUCUGAUAAAAACGGUCAAUUAGAAAGGGGUUGUUUUGGUUCGGGUCAAAACGGGUUCGGGUCAGAACGGGUUUGGGGUCAGAACGGGUUUCGGGUCGGGUUGGUUAAAUAUAUUUUUUAAGGACAUUGAGCAUCGUUCGCGUUCUUCUUCAAUCUGUUUGUAUCUUAAUUCAAUUAUGCAUUUUAUGAAUGAUUUGAAGUUUAUUGAUCGAUUGAGCAUCGUUCAUGUGAUUAGUUUGUUGCCGUUUGUUUAGAAUCUGUAAUAACUGAAAUGGAUUUGAGUUGAAUUUGGAAGUCAAUUAUGCAUUUUGUGAAUAGUGUGUUUUGAAGUUGUUUGUUUGGAGUCUGUAAUGAAUAAUGAUUGAUAAUCCAAAUGGAAUGAAACCUAUUUGUGCUGAAUUUGGUGAAGAUUUUGAGUUGUUGAACUUAUGCCGAAUGAGAUAUGAGGUUUUAGUAUAAGUUGUUGAACUUAUUUCUAUAACAGUGAAGAUUUUGAGUUGUUUUGAAGGUUUGACUUAUGUUCUAUCCCGAAUUCUCGACUCCGCCGCAACGCGCGGGUUCCCCACUAUAUAGAUAAUGCAUACAACCUUUUGAGGUCCGAGGGGAAAGAAUAUGUUGUACAAGAAGGCGAUGUUAUGUUGUUCCGGUUUAACGUCUAAUGAUGUUGAAGUAAUGAAAAUUGGGCCUUUAAUGUUAAAAACACCCAACCUUAAUGUUAUGCUGUUCCGGUUUAACUUUAUCAAGCUCGGGAAGCAAUCCCGGGUAAAAACCUAGUUGAUAUAUAUAUAAUAAAAAUCAAGAAGUAAA
This is a long non-coding RNA of Helianthus annuus (common sunflower), 4079 nucleotides long. RefSeq lists it as uncharacterized. The record is from RefSeq and is a predicted model, not a curated record. The transcript is spliced from 7 exons. Lineage: Eukaryota; Viridiplantae; Streptophyta; Magnoliopsida; Asterales; Asteraceae.